AAAUCUGGCACUUUCAGUGUCCGAGUUGUAAUUUGAAGAAGGUAUCUUUGGGUCUGGCUCUUGUCUAUGUUUCUUGGAACAGAACGUCACAGAGGGUGAGAAUCCCGUGCGAUGAGAUGACCCAGACCUAUGUAAAGUUCCUUCGAAGAGUCGAGUUGUUUGGGAAUGCAGCUCUAAGUGGGUGGUAAAUUCCAUCUAAAGCUAAAUAUUGGCGAGAGACCGAUAGCGAACAAGUACAGUGAUGGAAAGAUGAAAAGAACUUUGAAAAGAGAGUGAAAAAGUACGUGAAAUUGUUGAAAGGGAAGGGCUUGAGAUCAGACUUGGUAUUUUGUAUGUUACUCUCUCGGGGGUGGCCUCUACAGUUUACCGGGCCAGCAUCAGUUUGGGCGGUAGGACAAUUGCAAAGAAAUGUGGCACUGCCUCGGUAGUGUGUUAUAGUCUUUGUCGAUACUGCCAGCCUAGACUGAGGACUGCGGCUUCGGCCUAGGAUGUUGGCAUAAUGAUCUUAAGUCGCCCGUCUUGAAACACGG
RNAcentral lists this ribosomal RNA (530 nucleotides) under Lodderomyces orthopsilosis. RNAcentral describes it as "Candida orthopsilosis partial large subunit ribosomal RNA". It matches the Rfam family "Eukaryotic large subunit ribosomal RNA", at positions 118 to 664 of the family's 3401-position model. Lineage: Eukaryota; Fungi; Ascomycota; Pichiomycetes; Serinales; Debaryomycetaceae. The record is from RNAcentral.